GGGGGCGUUCUGGUUUCGACGGGAAUGCUUAGGUUUCAGGUCGCGCGCCGUGGUGGUCACCAACCACGUAAAUACUAGUGGCACGCUUAUAAUCGCCAACGAUUAUAAUUACGCUGUCGCCGCUUAAUUAGCGGCCAGCCGUCUCCCCCGUAAGUUCCUGCGGGACGGGUGGAGGCGUAGAUUAGCGGGAUAGCCAAGAAGAGUGGCCCACCGGCUUCAAGGCGAAACAAAGGAGGGCUGGCGCCCGCCGAGCCUGUUUCUGGGCAACCGGCGGGGGCGAGACUUUAAUCAGAAACUAUGCGCGUAGAAGCUUGGCGCCGAGAUUUUCGGACAGGGGUUCGACUCCCCUCGCCUCCACUA
This 360-nucleotide small RNA is filed under the name Nitrospinota bacterium. Its description in RNAcentral is "transfer-messenger RNA". It matches the Rfam family "transfer-messenger RNA". From Rfam's summary of the family: Bacterial tmRNA, also known as 10Sa RNA or SsrA, is named for its dual tRNA and mRNA-like properties. Its role is to liberate the mRNA from a stalled ribosome. To accomplish this part of the tmRNA is used as a reading frame that ends in a translation stop signal. Lineage: Bacteria; Pseudomonadati; Nitrospinota. The record is from RNAcentral.